GACAGAGGAUGCAAGCGUUAUCCGGAAUGAUUGGGCGUAAAGCGUCUGUAGGUGGCUUUUUAAGUCCGCCGUCAAAUCCCAGGGCUCAACCCUGGACAGGCGGUGGAAACUACCAAGCUGGAGUACGGUAGGGGCAGAGGGAAUUCGUCGGUGUAGUGGUGAAAUACGUAGAUAUCGAGAAGAACACCAAUAGCGAAAAGCACUCUGCUGGGCCGAAACUGACAUUGAGAGACGAAAGCUAGGGGAGCGAAAGGG
RNAcentral lists this ribosomal RNA (255 nucleotides) under uncultured bacterium. RNAcentral describes it as "partial 16S ribosomal RNA". It matches the Rfam family "Bacterial small subunit ribosomal RNA", at positions 524 to 776 of the family's 1533-position model. The record is from RNAcentral.